AGUGAACGCUGGCGGUAGGCCUAACACAUGCAAGUCGAACGGCAGCACAGGAGAGCUUGCUCUCUGGGUGGCGAGUGGCGGACGGGUGAGGAAUACAUCGGAAUCUACUCUGUCGUGGGGGAUAACGUAGGGAAACUUACGCUAAUACCGCAUACGACCUACGGGUGAAAGCAGGGGACCUUGGGGCCUUGCGCGAUUGAAUGAGCCGAUGUCGGAGUAGCUCGUUGGCGGGGUAAAGGCCCACCAAGGCGACGAUCCGUAGCUGGUCUGAGAGGAUGAUCAGCCACACUGGAACUGAGACACGGUCCAGACUCCUACGGGAGGCAGCAGUGGGGAAUAUUGGACAAUGGGCGCAAGCCUGAUCCAGCCAUACCGCGUGGGUGAAGAAGGCCUUCGGGUUGUAAAGCCCUUUUGUUGGGAAAGAAAUCCAGCUGGCUAAUACCCGGUUGGGAUGACGGUACCCAAAGAAUAAGCACCGGCUAACUUCGUGCCAGCAGCAGCCGCGG
Molecule: ribosomal RNA, 506 nt
Filed under: uncultured bacterium
Lineage: Bacteria
Description: partial 16S ribosomal RNA
Rfam family: Bacterial small subunit ribosomal RNA
Source: RNAcentral